This 72-nucleotide transfer RNA is filed under the name Planctomycetaceae bacterium. RNAcentral describes it as "tRNA-Lys". It matches the Rfam family "tRNA". Rfam says of the family: Transfer RNA (tRNA) molecules are approximately 80 nucleotides in length. Their secondary structure includes four short double-helical elements and three loops (D, anti-codon, and T loops). Further hydrogen bonds mediate the characteristic L-shaped molecular structure. tRNAs have two regions of fundamental functional importance: the anti-codon, which is responsible for specific mRNA codon recognition, and the 3' end, to which the tRNAs corresponding amino acid is attached (by aminoacyl-tRNA synthetases). tRNAs cope with the degeneracy of the genetic code in two manners: having more than one tRNA (with a specific anti-codon) for a particular amino acid; and 'wobble' base-pairing, i.e. permitting non-standard base-pairing at the 3rd anti-codon position. The record is from RNAcentral. Lineage: Bacteria; Pseudomonadati; Planctomycetota; Planctomycetia; Planctomycetales; Planctomycetaceae.
ACCUCGCGGGUGUGAUGGUCGGCAUAGCGGACUUUUAAUCCGCCGGAUCGGGUUCGAUUCCCGGGCGAGGUA